UAUAAUAGUUUUUGACAACAGAACCUUAAUAAUGUUUAAACUUAUAAUUUAAAUUAAUUAUAUUCGAAUUUCUACUAUUGCGGGAUCACUAGUCUGUAUAAACUUGUGUAUUAUACAACUAUAAUGUAUAUUUAUGUACAUAGAGUUCAUAAGCGACCUGCUUUGGCUUCGCACGAUUGAACAGGAUAUUGUUCACUAUUAUACAGUCUUUCUCUCCAAAAGCAACAAUCUUCCUAUUUCAUCUCAACAAGGGUAAAAUUUUGAAAAACACCGAUAAAAGUGUACGUUUAUUUCUAACCAUAAGCAGCUGUGUAUAUCGAAUUCGUUACUUUGAAAAUGACAGACUUCCAUACAGCCCUUCAUCUCGUAUUUUACUCCCUAAAGAGUAAUAUUUCCAAAACUCUUUCCUUGGUGAAUGUUUACAAGAUAAAAGGCAUCAGAUGCCAAAUUUCAAGUUUGUAGCCCCAGCGGCUUGGGCUCUACGUUCAUGAAUCAGUCAUUCAGUCAGAACAAACAUGGACAUGUUUUAUAGAUAGCAUACAUACACCAUGCAAUUAAACUAAGCAUAAUUUAUUUUCAUCUUUGAACUUAACUUGAAAUCUGUUAAUAUUAAAACGUACUGAAACCUU
This is a long non-coding RNA of Bombyx mori (domestic silkworm), 629 nucleotides long. RefSeq lists it as uncharacterized. The transcript is spliced from 2 exons. NCBI's taxonomy places the organism in Eukaryota, Metazoa, Arthropoda, Insecta, Lepidoptera, Bombycidae. The record is from RefSeq and is a predicted model, not a curated record.